Molecule: long non-coding RNA, 131 nt
Organism: Athene cunicularia (burrowing owl)
Lineage: Eukaryota; Metazoa; Chordata; Aves; Strigiformes; Strigidae
Exons: 3
Source: RefSeq, a predicted model, not a curated record
CCUCCAUGGAGAUUUCAUUAAGGUUUACAUUCUAAGUUAACAGUUUUGGUUCAGGGCCUGUUGAUCAGGCUUCAACACUUCCACCCUUUACAUCAGGAUAGGUGGUUUAUUAUAACUUAGUAUAAUACCUG